RNAcentral lists this ribosomal RNA (502 nucleotides) under uncultured bacterium. RNAcentral describes it as "partial 16S ribosomal RNA". It matches the Rfam family "Bacterial small subunit ribosomal RNA", at positions 30 to 523 of the family's 1533-position model. The record is from RNAcentral.
AUUGAACGCUGGCGGAAUGCUUUACACAUGCAAGUCGAACGGCAGCACGGGUGCUUGCACCUGGUGGCGAGUGGCGAACGGGUGAGUAACAUAUCGGAACGUGCCCAGUAAUGGGGGAUAACUAACCGAAAGGUUAGCUAAUACCGCAUACGCCCCGAGGGGGAAAGCGGGGGAUCGAAAGACCUCGCGUUAUUGGAGCGGCAGAUAUCUGAUUAGCUAGUUGGUAGGGUAAAGGCCUACCAAGGCGACGAUCAGUAGCUGGUCUGAGAGGAUGAUCAGCCACACUGGGACUGAGACACGGCCCAGACUCCUACGGGAGGCAGCAGUGGGGAAUUUUGGACAAUGGGCGAAAGCCUGAUCCAGCCAUUCCGCGUGAGUGAAGAAGGCCUUCGGGUUGUAAAGCUCUUUCGGCAGGAACGAAACGCUCUAGAUUAAUACUCUGGGGUAAUGACGGUACCUGAAGAAGAAGCACCGGCUAACUACGUGCCAGCCGCCGCCGUAA